UGUAGUUGCCCAUCAAUCGCUCAGUAGUCAGUGUAGAUUCUGUCUUUACAAUCAGCAGCUACAUCUGGCUACUGGGUCUCUGAUGACAUCUCAUAUCU
MicroRNA precursor from Accipiter nisus (Eurasian sparrowhawk), 98 nucleotides. Ensembl annotates it as microRNA 222. The record is from Ensembl. Lineage: Eukaryota; Metazoa; Chordata; Aves; Accipitriformes; Accipitridae.